Molecule: transfer RNA, 51 nt
Filed under: Clavija euerganea
Lineage: Eukaryota; Viridiplantae; Streptophyta; Magnoliopsida; Ericales; Primulaceae
Also listed under: 2 other names
Description: partial tRNA-Leu
Source: RNAcentral
GAAAAUCCGUCGACUUUCGAGAUCGUGAGGGUUCAAGUCCCUCUAUCCCCA